RNAcentral lists this ribosomal RNA (279 nucleotides) under uncultured bacterium. RNAcentral's name for it is "partial 16S ribosomal RNA". It matches the Rfam family "Bacterial small subunit ribosomal RNA", at positions 506 to 784 of the family's 1533-position model. The record is from RNAcentral.
UGCCAGCCGCCGCGGUAAUACGGAGAGUGCAAGCGUUAUCCGGAAUCACUGGGUUUAAAGGGUGCGUAGGCGGCGCUAUAAGUCAGAGGUGAAAUCUUGCAGCUUAACUGUAAAAUUGCCUUUGAAACUGUAGUGCUUGAAUCACGUUGAGGUCAGCGGAAUGUGACAUGUAGCGGUGAAAUGCUUAGAUAUGACACAGAACGCCAAUUGCGAAGGCAGCUUACUAAGCUACGAUUGACGCUGAGGCACGAAAGCGUGGGGAGCGAACAGGAUUAGAUA